Molecule: ribosomal RNA, 465 nt
Filed under: Vreelandella stevensii
Lineage: Bacteria; Pseudomonadati; Pseudomonadota; Gammaproteobacteria; Oceanospirillales; Halomonadaceae
Description: partial 16S ribosomal RNA
Rfam family: Bacterial small subunit ribosomal RNA
Source: RNAcentral
CCUACGGGUGGCAGCAGUGGGGAAUAUUGGACAAUGGGGGGAACCCUGAUCCAGCCAUGCCGCGUGUGUGAAGAAGGCCCUCGGGUUGUAAAGCACUUUCAGUGAGGAAGAACGCCUGGUGGUUAAUACCCAUCAGGAAAGACAUCACUCACAGAAGAAGCACCGGCUAACUCCGUGCCAGCAGCCGCGGUAAUACGGAGGGUGCGAGCGUUAAUCGGAAUUACUGGGCGUAAAGCGCGCGUAGGUGGCUUGAUAAGCCGGUUGUGAAAGCCCCGGGCUCAACCUGGGAACGGCAUCCGGAACUGUCAAGCUAGAGCGCAGGAGAGGAAGGUAGAAUUCCCGGUGUAGCGGUGAAAUGCGUAGAGAUCGGGAGGAAUACCAGUGGCGAAGGCGGCCUUCUGGACUGACACUGACACUGAGGUGCGAAAGCGUGGGUAGCAAACAGGAUUAGAUACCCGUGUAGUC